UAAGUUAAAGGAUAAAGGGUUUCAUAUAGCUGUGAUACUCAUUAUUAUUAGAUACCAUUUCAUGGUAUACUAAAUGUAUUCAUGCCUUCCAGGUAUACAGGUCUUCUAAGAUAUAAAACCAGGAUCAUUUAUGGUGAUGACUUUUUUAGGACUCAGGUAUCUGCCUUUCUCUUGUGCUGCAGCUACUUGUGAUAAGAGGUCCACAUCCAGGCAACAUGAGGUCCCCAGUCAAAUCAUACUUUCUUCUUUUUAACUUAUGCAAUGUGUAUAUCCCCCCCCUCUGCACUUAGGGCCCUCGGGCACUGAGCAGCCCACACUGCUUUGAUGUCACCCCUUCAACGUAGCGAGAGCCUCUUUGGGCACUAGACGGAGACAAUUGUCUGAAAAGGCUGUUCGGCGUCAGCACAGACCCUGGAGCGUGUUCCAGAGGCAGUGCCAUGACCCUGUGCGGACAGGCUGCAUAUGGCUCUUGGUCUCAAGUCCUCUCUAUAAAGCUUCAUAACUGUCUGUCAACAUUCUGCAGGAAUAACCUACUGAAACAGCCACAAUUGUUUGGACACUAGACCUAAAAAGGUAACUGGGCUAAGAGGACAGCCACUGUUUUGGGCCUGGCCCUCCAAGAUCAAGAAGGACCCAGGGCACGAAGGAACCUUUUCUACAAAAUCCUACAACUUCGCUCAAACUAAGGGACUUUUGACCAGAAAUACCACACUUACGCAUCACCUCCAUCAGCAGCGCUUUCCAGGGCCCUGAGAGCAGUUUCUGGCUGUGACUCUUUCCCCAGCCUGCCCGUCCAUUCCCGUGCUCGUGCUCUGACCAUGAUGCUCUAACCCUUCCGACCUCUGUUUAUUCCUGCCUAGGGGCUGCGAGGCUCCAAGUGAUAAAACCAAGGACAAAUGUGCCGGGCUCCUUUUACCGGGAUCCACUGAUCAGCCUCGUGAAGAGCUCACGACUGCUGAGCUGCACCGUGACGUCUGUCUAAGGCCCAUCAGAUGAGCUCUCUGGAGGCCCCUGACUGCGGCCUCUGCCGCUCCAACCUCUGGGCUUGAGGCAGUGAAUGGAAGCCACGCCCUCCUCCCCUAAGCACGGUUAGGGGCACCUCUUCUGAGGCACGUAGUGCAGACAGCUCAGUUACAGAGACACUGCGGGUGGCUGGGCCUCCCAGAAGUCAGUGCACAAGACUGCUGUGGCUGGAGGUGCAUUCGUUAAAAGCCGGGCUUCCAGACGGAGAGGACUGGUACACCCCACGCUGCCCCCAGGGGUGAAGAGCAGUGAGUGACACCCUAAACAGGCCUCGGUCACCGGCGGGGCAGACCUUACCCACCCUUCCAGGAAAGGGCCUUGUUCAAUCCCCGCACGCUGCUCCACGCCUGGCUCCCCAUUUGAUCCCAUCAGUGUUGCCUGAGCGACUCCGCUCGUAAUCUCACAGCUGCCUGUAGCUCCGUUCCAGCCCCAAAUACUCCUCUGGCAGGCGGGAUCCCUGGCACCCACUUUCUGGGCCCCCUUCCAUUCCUCCCAGAC
This is a long non-coding RNA of Fukomys damarensis (Damara mole-rat), 1521 nucleotides long. RefSeq lists it as uncharacterized. The transcript is spliced from 3 exons. The record is from RefSeq and is a predicted model, not a curated record. NCBI's taxonomy places the organism in Eukaryota, Metazoa, Chordata, Mammalia, Rodentia, Bathyergidae.